RNAcentral lists this microRNA precursor (97 nucleotides) under Morus notabilis. Its description in RNAcentral is "MIR396 microRNA precursor family". It matches the Rfam family "MIR396 microRNA precursor family". Lineage: Eukaryota; Viridiplantae; Streptophyta; Magnoliopsida; Rosales; Moraceae. The record is from Rfam by way of RNAcentral.
GGUCAUGCUUUUCCACAGCUUUCUUGAACUUGUUCCUUCUUUUCCUGUCUAUUAACCAUGGAAUUAAGCUCAAGAAAGCUGUGGGAGAACAUGGCGG